UCAGCAGGACUGAGCAUAAUUGCAGACAUUCCUUGGGACAUGGAGGAGUCCUUGUGCCUGCAACCAUCUCCCUGGAAGCACUGGGCAUAGCAGCUGAAGGGCUCCCUCACAUGUCUGUGACUAGCUGUGUUUUUCAGAGCUCCUGCCACAAAUCUGUGAUUCCCUCUAGAAUUCCAACACAUAACUGAGUAGAGUGGCCAAUUAUGGUGGAAUAUGAUUCUUCUUUGUUCUUCAGCAUAUUUAUAGACAGAUGCACAUUCAGGGAUCUACGAGAGAGUACCAGAGCAGACUCAACAAAGCAAAACUACAGAGAGGAGCAAUAGGCUUUUGUGAAUGCCUGGCAUCCAAACAGGGUCAACCCACAACACCACCCAAGUGCAAGAUGGAUGAUAAGAGAUGACAUAGGUGGCAAAAUACAAUGAACCAAUGAGAUAUUAAUGACUGUUCAGAACUGCACUUGGCAGAAUAUUGUUCACAAUGGAUUUUUGCAAUAAACUUUAAGUCUUAGUAUAAAGAGCUCUACAUGUGUUUGUGGAGAGACAGAUUAAAAAAUGUGAAGAACAAAACAACUAACAAAGUAUUCCUUUAAAUUGUGGAAGUG
Molecule: long non-coding RNA, 601 nt
Organism: Vidua macroura (Pin-tailed whydah)
Lineage: Eukaryota; Metazoa; Chordata; Aves; Passeriformes; Viduidae
Exons: 3
Source: RefSeq, a predicted model, not a curated record